CGCGGGGGGCGAGGUCGGCGAGAACGCGCCGGAGCUGGACGGGAUCUUCGACGCGCUCUCGCGCGCGACGGCGUUCGGCGUCGCGCCGGGACGGCGGGGGAAGUGCUUCUCGUGCGACCAGCCGAACCGAGCGCGGUCGGCGGAACUCUGCUCUCUCUGCGGACGACGGCGAGGCGCGGGGAGGGAGGGACGACGACGACGGUGAGAGACGACGACGACGAAGAAGCCAUUCAAACGACGAAGAGAAGAUGUUUUUCGUUGGCGCGAGAUCCGCGGAGAGCGCCAUUCGGGACGCGCGAGCGACGCGCGCGCACCGUCGGCGACGGGUCGUCUCCCGCCGACGGCGACGCGCCGGCCGCGCCGGCGUCGCGCGGGGUCUUCCAGUCGAAACCCUGGGACAUCCCGUGGAGGCGCGGCGAGCCCACUGGACCGCCCCCGGCGGAAGAGGACGAAGUGGGCACGCUGCAGCGCGCAGCUGACAUUUCGCAAACACGAACCAACGCCAACGGC
This 510-nucleotide long non-coding RNA is filed under the name Micromonas pusilla. Its description in RNAcentral is "long non-coding RNA (MPUS_LNC000098)". Lineage: Eukaryota; Viridiplantae; Chlorophyta; Mamiellophyceae; Mamiellales; Mamiellaceae. The record is from RNAcentral.